RNAcentral lists this transfer RNA (73 nucleotides) under Paramacrosteles nigromaculatus. RNAcentral describes it as "tRNA-Trp". RNAcentral also lists the same sequence under 1 other name. Lineage: Eukaryota; Metazoa; Arthropoda; Insecta; Hemiptera; Cicadellidae. The record is from RNAcentral.
AAGACUUUAAGUUUAAACUAAACUUAUAACCUUCAAAGUUAUAUAUAUCUAAAGACUAUAUAGGUAAGUCUUA